UACGAGUGCCCCGAGCGUUAUCCGGAAUCAUUGGGCGUAAAGGGUGUGUAGGCGGUCGCAUUAGUCUUCUGUCAAAGCCCCGGGCUUAACCCGGGACCUGCAGGGGAAACGGUGCGACUCGAGGAUGCGAGGGGUGAAUGGAACUCAUGGAGUAGGGGUGAAAUCCGUUGAUAUCAUGGGGAACACCAAAAGCGAAGGCAAUUCACUGGCGCAUUCCUGACACUGAAACACGAAAGCGUGGGUAGCGAACGGG
Molecule: ribosomal RNA, 253 nt
Filed under: uncultured bacterium
Lineage: Bacteria
Description: partial 16S ribosomal RNA
Rfam family: Bacterial small subunit ribosomal RNA
Source: RNAcentral